UAAUACGGAGGGUGCAAGCGUUAAUCGGAAUUACUGGGCGUAAAGCGCACGCAGGCGGUUUGUUAAGUCAGAUGUGAAAUCCCCGGGCUCAACCUGGGAACUGCAUUUGAAACUGGCAAGCUAGAGUCUCGUAGAGGGGGGUAGAAUUCCAGGUGUAGCGGUGAAAUGCGUAGAGAUCUGGAGGAAUACCGGUGGCGAAGGCGGCCCCCUGGACGAAGACUGACGCUCAGGUGCGAAAGCGUGGGGAGCAAACAGGAUUAGAUACCCUGGUAGUCCACGCUGUAAACGAUGUCGAUUUGGAGGUUGUCGCCCUUGAGGCGUGGCUUCCGGAGCUAACGCGUUAAAUCGACCGCCGUGGGGAGUACGGCCGCUAAAGGUUA
RNAcentral lists this ribosomal RNA (380 nucleotides) under uncultured Serratia sp. RNAcentral's name for it is "bacterial SSU rRNA". It matches the Rfam family "Bacterial small subunit ribosomal RNA", at positions 521 to 896 of the family's 1533-position model. Lineage: Bacteria; Pseudomonadati; Pseudomonadota; Gammaproteobacteria; Enterobacterales; Yersiniaceae. The record is from RNAcentral.